UAAUGAUGAUGAUGAUGAUGAUGAUGAUGAUGAUGGUCGUCAUUAUCGUGAUCAGCAACAACA
RNAcentral lists this microRNA precursor (63 nucleotides) under Guillardia theta CCMP2712. RNAcentral describes it as "microRNA mir-598". Lineage: Eukaryota; Cryptophyceae; Pyrenomonadales; Geminigeraceae. The record is from RNAcentral.